This 301-nucleotide ribosomal RNA is filed under the name uncultured bacterium. RNAcentral describes it as "partial 16S ribosomal RNA". It matches the Rfam family "Bacterial small subunit ribosomal RNA", at positions 509 to 807 of the family's 1533-position model. The record is from RNAcentral.
CAGUCGCCGCGGGAAUACGAAGGGGGCUAGCGUUGUUCGGAUUUACUGGGCGUAAAGCGCACGUAGGCGGAUUGGUAAGUUAGGGGUGAAAUCCUGGAGCUCAACUCCAGAACUGCCUUUAAUACUGCCAAUCUCGAGUCCGGAAGAGGUAAGUGGAACUCCUAGUGUAGAGGUGGAAUUCGUAGAUAUUAGGAAGAACACCAGUGGCGAAGGCGGCUUACUGGUCCGGUACUGACGCUGAGGUGCGAAAGCGUGGGGAGCAAACAGGAUUAGAUACCCCCGUAGUCCCUGUCUCUUAUAC